ACUUUUAUAGGAUAGUAGUAAUCCGAUAGCCUUAGGAGCUAAAAAAUUGGUGCAACUCCAAAUAAAAGUA
This 70-nucleotide transfer RNA is filed under the name Rhynchocyon stuhlmanni (Stuhlmann's elephant shrew). RNAcentral's name for it is "tRNA-Leu". It matches the Rfam family "tRNA". Rfam says of the family: Transfer RNA (tRNA) molecules are approximately 80 nucleotides in length. Their secondary structure includes four short double-helical elements and three loops (D, anti-codon, and T loops). Lineage: Eukaryota; Metazoa; Chordata; Mammalia; Macroscelidea; Macroscelididae. The record is from RNAcentral.